UGGGGUAUAUUGGACAAUGGGGGGAACCCUGAUCCAGCCAUGCCGCGUGUGUGAAGAAGGCCUUAUGGAUGUAAAGCACUUUAAGCGAGGAGGAGGGUACUGGUAUUAAUACUACCAGGUACUGGACGUUACUCGCAGAAUAAGCACCGGCUAACUCUGUGCCAGCAGCCGCGGUAAUACAGAGGGUGCGAGCGUUAAUCGGAUUUACUGGGCGUAAAGCGUGCGUAGGCGGCUAAUUGAGUCGGAUGUGAAAUCCCCGAGCUCAACCUGGGAACUGCAUCCAAAACUGGCGAGCUAGAGUAGGGCAGAGGGUGGUGGAAUUUCCUGUGUAGCGGUGAAAUGCGUAGAUAUAGGACGGAACACCAGUGGCGAAGGCGACCACCUGGGCUCAUACUGACACUGAGGUGCGAAAGCGUGGGGAGCAAACAGG
RNAcentral lists this ribosomal RNA (430 nucleotides) under Pseudomonadota bacterium. RNAcentral describes it as "Proteobacteria bacterium partial 16S ribosomal RNA". It matches the Rfam family "Bacterial small subunit ribosomal RNA", at positions 355 to 776 of the family's 1533-position model. The record is from RNAcentral. Lineage: Bacteria; Pseudomonadati; Pseudomonadota.